AUGGAAACACCAGCUCCUCCUGAAUGUAUGACCUGCUUGGGUGACGCAUACAGGGUUUCUUGGAUGGAAGACAGUGAAACUCACAAUCUACAGAAGGAAACCAUCAAGCAGCAGUACGAGGUGGUUAAAGCAAGAACGGCACCCCCAAAUGACUCCAAUAUCGGUUCUCAUGUCAUGGAGUAUGGUAACAAGACAUUCAAGGAUGACAAGCUUUUCCUUUAUCAAGGUUUCUAUCCUGUGAAGUCAAGCAUCACAAACAGGCCGCUGCUUUCGCCCAGCCUCAAGGGUGCAAUCAAUCAAAGAGAUGUUGAUAUUCUUUUCAUGCUUGUUCCAACGUUUGACACUUCGGCCACCUACUAUCAAAAGAGCACUACUAUGUACGAUCUACAGUAG
This 393-nucleotide ribosomal RNA is filed under the name Triticum aestivum (bread wheat). RNAcentral's name for it is "partial small subunit ribosomal RNA". The record is from RNAcentral. Lineage: Eukaryota; Viridiplantae; Streptophyta; Magnoliopsida; Poales; Poaceae.